This is a non-coding RNA of Camellia sinensis, 383 nucleotides long. Lineage: Eukaryota; Viridiplantae; Streptophyta; Magnoliopsida; Ericales; Theaceae. The record is from RefSeq and is a predicted model, not a curated record.
AAGAGAAUAAAAUAAAAUGCAUCACACACUAUUUUGAGAGGAUAUGCUCUUGUAUGCCUGUGGGUGUUGUCUCCUUUGAGCGUAAAAUACUUCCUUUGGAAAAUAGCUUUCCUUGUGUUUCUUAUCCAAAGGCUGAUUUUUGGAGCACAUCUUCUAUUCCUCUCUGUCGUUUCAAGGUUUACAGGUCUGGCUUGAUAUAAGAUCAAUCUUGUGAAGCUCUUGAAGUGGAUUUUGCUAACAAGUAUCUUGGAGGUGGUGCUCUUCACAGGGGUUGUGUACAAGAGUUCAAGUUGAAGGAGAUGAUGGAAGUUGUGUGGUUUGUAUGGGUUUGAAGAAACAAUGGAUUUGGCUUUUUUCGUUGUAAUGGAUAUUUUUAUUUUUAU